Triticum aestivum (bread wheat) is the source of this 135-nucleotide non-coding RNA. The record is from Rfam. Lineage: Eukaryota; Viridiplantae; Streptophyta; Magnoliopsida; Poales; Poaceae.
CAAAUACUCCCUCGGUCCUAAGAUUCUGGUUUUAGAUUCGUUUAGAUACAGAUGUAUCUAAUACUAAAAUGUGAUUUGAUACAUCCGUAUUUAGGAAAAUCUAAUACAACAAUUUUGAGACGGAGGGAGUAUGAA